Long non-coding RNA from Camelina sativa (false flax), 1237 nucleotides. RefSeq lists it as uncharacterized. The record is from RefSeq and is a predicted model, not a curated record. Lineage: Eukaryota; Viridiplantae; Streptophyta; Magnoliopsida; Brassicales; Brassicaceae.
AUCAGUCUUUCCCCCAUUACACUUAGAAGCUCUAGAGUCAAAAAAAAAUCUUUUUUUUUUCUAAACCAACGAAAACCUAAAUUGUUUUAUUUUCUUCUUUUCUCUUCCUCAUCUCCUUCGCACUUCUUCUUCCUCUCUAGGGUUAAGAGUAGGGAGAAGCCAAGGUUUUGGCUUAGCAGCCAUGAGUGAGACGAGAGAUAAGCAUUACAACGACGUAAUCGACAGGGAGAGAAUGAAUUGAAGCUGUGAUGAAGUCUUUGAGCUUGUCGACAACAAACACUCGUUUGAAGAUCUGGUGACAGGAGUGUGAAGAAGAGUAAAGGCACGACAGAGGCGUCUUUUUCUAUUAAUCUCGCCAAAUUUCUGCAGUUAUGCGAUUUUGGCAAGAUUGAGUACAAGCCAGAAAUUUCGAAUUGGAUCAACCUAAUUGGAUUCGUCGAGCAACCUUUUCAGUUCGGUCCUUGCUCCGAUGGAAAUUUCUGGGCUGGAACUGUGAUUUCUCAGCGUUUGGGUUCAAAGUCAUCUAGUUUCUGAUACAUUUUUUGAAAGCAUGAGUGUGUUGUUGGUAAUUUGUUUGUGUAUUUUCCAUGUUUGAAAUAGUUUUAGUUGGUAAGCACGCCUCUAUUCUAGUGAUUUUCUGACAAGGUUGGAGCUCUUUUGCUCUGUGAUAUCACAUCAGUGGUCUCGUUGUUGCUCAGAAAUGGAAGAAGUACAUGUUUUUAAACAGAGUGGAGCUAAUCACGUAAGAGGAGGUUCUGGAACUGUUUUGUCUGCUCCCAACAAUGCAGAACAGGACAGAGGAGCUUUUAUUGAAGGAGCAGGACUGGACGGAGGAGCUUUGCUUCAAGUUAUACAGAUUCAAGAUGCUUCCAUCUCCCCUGUGAACAAGGGAGUCGCAGAGGAACAGCCUCUCUCCAAGUCUACUUCUGAGGAUGUUGUUUAGCCGGAGAAGUCUAAAGCAGGUACUGUACUAGUGGAUGUAUCCGACUCUGUUGUAGAAAACAACACUCAAUAUGCUGUAGAUGGAACUUCUCAGACAGUGACACUCAAUCCUUUCCCCCACCAACGUUUCUGCCCUUCAGGUUAUUUGUAAGAGUUUGUUGAUUUGUGGUGUUAGUUUAAGAUUUGAAUCGAUGUUAUGUUAGACUUGUUUUGGUUAAUGUUAUGUAAGACUUGUUUUCGUUAAUAUUAUGUAAGACUUGCUUUGGUUAAUGUAAUGUUAAUGAGAUGUAUUAGA